GUAGUCUGCAACUCGACUACAUGAAGCUGGAAUCGCUAGUAAUCGCGAAUCAGAAUGUCGCGGUGAAUACGUUCCCGGGUCUUGUACACACCGCCCGUCACACCAUGGGAGUCGGAAAUGCCCGAAGUCAGUGACCUAACCGAAAGGAGGGAGCUGCCGAAGGUGGAGCCGGUAACUGGGGUGAAGUCGUAACAAGGUAAC
This 201-nucleotide ribosomal RNA is filed under the name uncultured bacterium. Its description in RNAcentral is "partial 16S ribosomal RNA". It matches the Rfam family "Bacterial small subunit ribosomal RNA", at positions 1300 to 1500 of the family's 1533-position model. The record is from RNAcentral.